RNAcentral lists this long non-coding RNA (5070 nucleotides) under Carica papaya (papaya). Its description in RNAcentral is "long non-coding RNA (CPAP_LNC007380)". The record is from RNAcentral. Lineage: Eukaryota; Viridiplantae; Streptophyta; Magnoliopsida; Brassicales; Caricaceae.
UAACUAAAGUAAAUAGUAGUAAUGAAUGCUAUAAAUAAAAGAAAGAAAUCUUUACACAUCUACUCGCCGUCUUCCUACGGGACGGGCUCGAAAACCAAAUCCUCCUGAUCUAAAAUGGUUAAGUAAGGAAUGAGCUACAGUACCCCAGUAAAGACAUCACACUAUUUCACUAUCACAGAAAUAAAGGUUGGUAGAAAACAAAAACGACCAAUGCAGCACAAUUUAUAACAAACUCAUUUAUCAAUAAUAAAACUUUUUACUGUCCACUUACCUCGGUGAGAUCUAUGAAAAUAACUUAUGAAAAACAGCAACAUUAUAAACAUCAUGAAAUCAUACACACUCUGAAACAUAACGCAUGUCAUACUUUUAAUAUUUCAAUCAUCAAGCAAUGAUUUUUUCUCUUUUAUCAGCCUACCAGUAUCCGUGAGAACCCAUAGUGGACUCCGCUACACGUGAACCAUUCACCUUAAUAACUUAAUUCCAGAGUCGUCCCCAUACCCCGUCCGGUAUGGGGGCCAAAACUAUAAACCUCAAUACCCCGUCCGGUAUGAGGAUGAAACUGGCCGUCCCCAUAUCCCGUCUAGUAUGCACACCAAAACACAUAAAGUCUCUAUACCCCGUCCGAUAUGAGAGACCACGUUCCCGGUAGGGUUCCUUAUAGAUCGGGUCCGUCCACCGUCUCCCAGGAUAUCUAGUGAGGCUGUCAAGUUAUCUAUUUAUCAAUUCACAUAACUUUUCUAUUUUUCUUAAUCUCGAUUACCCAAUCAAACAUGAAUACGUAAACCAGUAACGAACACCAAACAAGACAAUACAACAUCGGGUUCACAAUAAUUCAAACCAUAAUAAAUUAAACAAUGAUUUAUGCAUACGAAACCAUAGAAUAAAAACAUCAGAUACCAUAAUGCAUUUAAACUGUAAAACAACUAAAACAGCAACUGACCGAAAUUAUAUCAGAUUCGGACUCCAUUAGCAACCUUAAUUAACUAUACAUAUCUAUUAAUUCAUAAAAUACCGUUUUAUCAUUUAUUAAACUUUAAUGCUGUGAUAGGAAAUAGGAUGAGAGAUUCUUACUUGUUUCGGAGUCUGAAAUCGGGUUCUCACUGUGCCUACGGACCCAUCAAAUGGGCUGAGAUACCUGCACUUUUCCUACUGAGAGCAUCUGCUAUCACGUUACCCUUACCCGGAUAGUACAAGAUAUCACAAUCAUAGUCUUUAAGGAGUUCCAUCCACCUUCUCUGACGCAUGUUAAGAUCCUUCUGAGUGAAUAUGUGUUUCAAACUCUUCUGAUCGGUAUAAAUCUGAAAGGUCUCUCCGUAUAAAUAAUGGCGCCAGGUUUUUAAGGCGUGUAUGAUUGCGGCAAGCUCCAAGUCAUGGGUGGGGUAAUUCUUCUCAUGAUUCUUUAACUGUCUAGACCUAUAAAUUAUGACCUUCUCAUGUUGCAUUAGAACACAACCCAAGCCUAGAUAGGAGGCAUCACUAUAAACUGUAUAUCCCUCCGAUCCACUCGGUAAAGCCAAUACGGGUGCAGUAGUCAGCCGCUUCUUUAAUUCUGAAAAACUUCUUUCACAGUACUCAUUUCAUUCAAACUUGGCAUUUUUCUUUAUGAGUCGGGUUAGGGGAACUGUUAGACUAGAGAAUCCUUCGACGAACCUGCAGUAAUAACCUGCCAUUCCCAGGAAGUUACAGAUUUCCUUAACUGAUGUCAGCUUCUCCCAGCCAAGUAUCGCUUCAACCUUUUCAGGAUUUACUGAUAUCCCUUCCUUUGAUAUGGUGUGUCCUAGGAAGGCGGUUUGCUCAAGCCAGAAUCCACACUUACCCAACUUCGCAUAUAACCUCUUAUUUCUAAGGACCUGCAAAACUUGGGCAAGAUGCUGAGCAUGUUCUUCUUUGCUUUUUGAGUAGACUAAGAUAUCAUCGAUGAACAUGAUGACAAAUUGAUCCAAGAACUCUCUGAAGACCCUAUUCAUCAGAUCCAUAAAGAUUGUCGGGGCAUUGGUUAGCCCAAAUGGCAUGACCAGGAACUCAUAGUGUCCGUACUUGGUUCGGAAGGCCGUCUUGGGGAUGUCUUCUAUUCUUAUCUUCACCCGAUGGUAAUCUGAUCGUAGGUCUAUUUUAGAGAAGACCUGUGCACCCUGCAGCUGAUCAAAGAGAUCAUCAAUCCGGGGAAGGGGAUACUUGUUUUUGACCGUAACCUUGUUCAAUCCUCUGUAAUCAAUGCACAGUCUCAACGUUCCAUCUCCCUUCCUUGCAAAAGUGACUCCAGCACCCCAAAGGGACACACUGUGUCUAAUAAAACCACUAUCUUGCAAUUCGGUGAUCUGUUUCCUCAGCUCUUCCAUCUCAAUACGGCUCAUGCGGUAAGGAGCAACUGAAAUGGGCUGGGUACCUGGCUGUAGGUCUAUAGUGAACUCGAUUUCUCUGUCCACUGGUAGACUGGGUAGUUCGUCCGGAAACACAUCUGGGAAGUCUAGGACUACCGGAAUCUCUUGAAUACAAAUUUCCUUCUUGGACUUACCUAGUCAGAGAAAACAGCAAGAUUAAGGCACUAGAAGUUAAGAAAACUUGCCAUCAAAGAAUACGUACUGAAUAAUUUUAUUAAUUUGUAAAUGGCUCCUCGUUAGGAGGAUUAAAUACAACUUUCUUGUUAAAGCAAUCUAUAGUGGUGUGAUAUGCCGCUAGCCAAUCCAUUCCUAAGAUUUCAUCAAAAUUCCCCGUGUCUAACCUUAUCAGGUCUACCCUCAGUUUCUUAUUUGCUAUCUCCACGGCACAAGCCCUAUAGAUAGCUUCCCCUAGUAGUGUUUCACCCCCAGCAGUAGACACAAACAACAAUGAUUCAAGUUUAUCAGGUGAUACAUUAAUUUUGGAAGCAAAAGCAUGUGAAACAAAGGAGUGCGAUGCACCAGUGUCAAAUAAAACAUGAGCAAUAUGGUCACAGAUAGUAUACAUACCCUGUACUACAUCCGAGUCAGCGUCGACAUCGUGCUGGGUAAGGUUGUAAGCUCUGCCCUAGAUAGGAGGCCUCCCUUGAUUCUGGUUCCUCAGGCAUUCUCUGGCAUAAUGCUGGGCACUGCCACAAAUACGACAAGUGUUGUUGGGGCGGUAGCAGGGUCGGUCCCCGUGAUCUCUGCCGCAGUGUUGACAGAUUUUCCCACGUGCUGCCCCUGGAGCCUGAGGAGGGGCCUAGAUGGCUGGUCUGGGCCUCUUAUUUGGUUGGGCAGGCGCAGUAGGUGCUGGCCUACGGAACAGAGCUGAGGGUCGGGAACUCCCUCCUGGCUGAGGACGGGUGCUGAAGCUUCUUUCCACAAUCUGUGCCUUUGCUAGGACUGCUGAAUAUGUCUUGAGCUCUAGUACUAACAAGUGUUGUCUGAUCUCUAGGCGGAGACCUAACUGGAAUCUCCUGGGCUUUCGGCCCUCAUCCAUCAAUGUCUCUGGGGAGUAUCGGCCCAGCUCGAGGAACUUACGAGCAUACUCUGAUACUGUCAUGUUUCCCUGAACCAGUUGAACAAACUCCGUUUCCUUUAGGUGUCGGAGGUGCUCAGGGAGAUACUCUGCAUGGAAGGCCGCUAAGAACUGCUCCCAAGUGACUGGUGUAGGUAGGGUGGUCUGCUUGAGCUCCCACCAACGACCUGCUUCCCCUACCAGCAUGUAGGAAGCAAGGGCAACCCUCUGCUCGGGAACCACUCCCAAGAUCUUGAAAGUCUUCUCAGUCUCCGCCAACCAGUACUGGGCAUCUUCGAUAGAGGACUCCCCUGCAAAAGUAGAAGGGUUCAAUCUCUUGUACCUCUCUACGUAGCCCGGGUCAAUCAAGGAGGGAGCUGGGUCCCGUGGGAGAGGGACUGGGCCCGGCUGGGGAUAGACUGGGGGGCCCUGUGGUGGCACUUGCUGAUAUAGUGGGGGCACUGAAUUGUACUGUGGCGGUGCAGGGCAGUACUGUGGCUGAGGCACCGAAUUAUACUGCGGCGGUGGUACCGGGUGGUACUGUGGAGGAGCAGGCUCGUGCCGGGGUGGCUCGGGAUCCGCUUGCUGUAGCGAUGGCUCAACCUGUGGUACUGGGGGAGAGUCGGGUAACUCCCUUCUCUCCUCUCGACCUUGCUGGGCAGCAAUGAUCCUUUCUAGCAUCUUAAAUAUUCUAUCUACAUCUUUCCGAAGCGAAUCAUCUCGGGCUGCUUGGUCUAGUGGGGGUCUUCCUCUCCUCAUUUCUCUGCACCUGCAUUUUACAACGAAUGGUUGAGUAACGAUUUAUCAGUUGGUAUUUCUCUAAGUAUUAUUGUGUAAGGACGAGUUCGAGGAACGCGACUCUGAUACCAACUGUAACGGCCCAGAAAUUAAGAAAAUGUAUGUAUAUAAAAAAUUCUAAGUGCGGAGCGAAAUAAAAAUUUGAUUAUAUCCGUACACAUACCAAACGUAUAACGUAUGAAAAAAUAANNNNNNNNNNNNNNNNNNNNNNNNNNNNNNNNNNNNNNNNNNNNNNNNNNNNNNNNNNNNNNNNNNNNNNNNGUAUUAAACGUAUGAAAAAAUAAACUAACUAAAGUAAAUAUUAGUAAUGAAUGCUAUAAAUAAAACUAUGAAAUCUUUAUACAUCUACUCGCCGUCUUCAUGCGGGACGGACUCGAAACCCAACUUCUCUUGAUCUGAAAUGGUAAGGAAUGAACUACACUACCCCAGUAAAGACAUCACACUAUCUCACUGUCAAAGAAAUAAAGGUUGGUAGGAAAUAAAAACGAUCAAUUGAGCACAAUUUAUAACAAACUUAUUUAUUAAUAAUAAAAUCCCUUACUGUCCACUUACCUCAGUGAGAUCCAUGAAAACAACUUAUGAAAAACAGCAACACUAUAAACAUCAUAAAAUCAUACGCACUCUGAAACAUAACACAUAUCAUACUUUUAAUAUUUCAAUCAUCAAGCAACGAUUUUUUCUCUUUUAUCAGCCUACCAGUAUCCGUGGGGAUCCAUAGGGGUCUCUGCUACACGUGAACCAUUCACCUUAAUAACUUAAUUCAGGCCGUCCCCAUACCACGUUCGGUAUGGGUGCCAAAACCAUAAACCUCAAUACCCCGUCCGGUAUGAGUGU